UGGGGAAUAUUGGACAAUGGGGGCAACCCUGAUCCAGCCAUGCCGCGUGAGUGAUGAAGGCCUUCGGGUUGUAAAGCUCUUUUGGCGGGGACGAUGAUGACGGUACCCGCAGAAUAAGCCCCGGCUAACUUCGUGCCAGCAGCCGCGGUAAGACGAAGGGGGCUAGCGUUGUUCGGAAUUACUGGGCGUAAAGCGAGUGUAGGCGGUUGCCGUAGUCAGGUGUGAAAGCCUUGAGCUCAACUCAAGAAAUGCACUUGAUACUGGGUGACUAGAGGACCGGAGAGGAUAGUGGAAUUCCCAGUGUAGUGGUGAAAUACGUAGAGAUUGGGAAGAACACCAGUGGCGAAGGCGGCUAUCUGGACGGUUACUGACGCUAAGACUCGAAAGCGUGGGGAGCAAACAGGAUUAGAUACCCUGGUAGUCCACGCCGUAAAACGAUGGGUGCUAGACGUUGGCGAGCUUGCUCGUCAGUGUCGCAGCUAACGCGUUAAGCACCCCGCCUGGGGAGUACGGCCGCAAGGUUGAAACUCAAAAUGAAUUGACGGGGGUCAUAGCUG
RNAcentral lists this ribosomal RNA (557 nucleotides) under uncultured bacterium. RNAcentral describes it as "partial 16S ribosomal RNA". It matches the Rfam family "Bacterial small subunit ribosomal RNA", at positions 355 to 928 of the family's 1533-position model. The record is from RNAcentral.